This 420-nucleotide ribosomal RNA is filed under the name bacterium. RNAcentral describes it as "partial 16S ribosomal RNA". It matches the Rfam family "Bacterial small subunit ribosomal RNA", at positions 355 to 776 of the family's 1533-position model. The record is from RNAcentral.
UGGGGGAUAUUGCACAAUGGGCGAAAGCCUGAUGCAGCGACGCCGCGUGGGGGAUCAAGGCUUUCGGGUUGUAAACCUCUUUCGCUAUCGAACAAGGCCCGCUUAGGGUGGGUUGAGGGUAGGUGGAGAAGAAGCGCCGGCUAACUACGUGCCAGCAGCCGCGGUAAUACGUAGGGCGCGAGCGUUGUCCGGAAUUAUUGGGCGUAAAGGGCUUGUAGGCGGCUUGUUGCGCCUGCUGUGAAAACGCGGGGCUUAACUUCGCGCGUGCAGUGGGUACGGGCAGGCUUGAGUGUGGUAGGGGUGACUGGAAUUCCAGGUGUAGCGGUGGAAUGCGCAGAUAUCUGGAGGAACACCGAUGGCGAAGGCAGGUCACUGGGCCAUUACUGACGCUGAGGAGCGAAAGCAUGGGUAGCGAACAGG